CAUUGAUUGCCACUGACGAUUUUGUUUCGCUUUUGGCAGAAGUGAAAUUAGGGGCUUUGCUUGGUAUUUUUGCAAUUCCAAUUAAAAUAAUGCUCCAUCUCCAUAAGUGAGGACUCAAAGAAGUCAUUAAAGGGAAAUUAAUGGGAAUGAAGACAACUGAUCGGGUGAGUUAAAGUUCUUUACCAGUAACUCAUGUUGGUAUUAGCUACUAUAAUUUUCCAAACAAAGUUUUAAGCUCUAUUAUUCAAAACUUCAGUUUUAAAGAGAUGAUACUAUGUUAUAUACUUUUGCUGUCGAGUAACUACUGCUUUGUAAAUCCAAAUAGAAAUAGUGAUACCCUUGUCAUAUAGUUGAAGUGUUAGAAGAAAUUUCUGUUUCUUAUUGAUGUAUCCCCUCAAACUGAUGUAGACUUUGUCAAAGGCUUAUUUAAUCAACCUAUUUAUAUGAGCUUUUACAGAUAAAUCUUUGUUCUUUUAAGUCAAACUGUAAUAUAACUUAUAAAUAAACCUUAUUUAUAAGUUAAACAUAUUUACUUAAAUGAAAAAGGUCUACAAAUAACUAUAAAUUGGGAUUGCCAUUGUCAGCUAGCAUAUACUUGUUCUUGAUAUAGACGGAAUGACAGGCUCACUGAUGCAAUCCAUAAAAUUUGAAGCUUUACUGUUCUUGAUGGUGAGUUAGUAUUUGUUAAGGUUUUCAUAGUCAUUUUCAGCUGCAACGUAUACUACAGUUCUUCAAUUUCAACUCCCAGUUCUCCUAUUGCUAUCAGAAGAGCGGUGAUCUUCAAGAGGAAAACAGAGAAAAUCAUAUUUUAGCCGUACAUGUUCUGUGAUGUUCUUUCUGUAAGUAACUUAUUUUUAGACGAUUCGUGUUCCCCUUACAUUACAGGGCGAUCUUAAGAAUUAGCUUGUUCAAGCAAAUAUUGUUUCUAACACAAUAUACAGCACUAAUACAAUCAUCGUGCAGAAUUAGCUUGUAACUAGAUUUCUUUUCUCAUCUUGUUAUUAAUGAUCUUUCUUUCCAUUUCUAGAUGGGUUCAGGACUACACUGGACCUACGUACUACUUCUAUUCCCCUCUUAAUGAUAUAUUCCAUUAGAUAGAUAUAUGUUUCCAGUGUGAUAGUUGUGUUACAUAUGCAGAUGCAGGUUAAUGGACUUUCAGGUGGAGAAAAGUUCCUUUUCUUCUCUUUGUGUUGUUCUGCAUGUUCAUUGAGUCAGCCAUGACUGCUGAAGGAAGCAGGAUUGGAGGUAGAAUGACAGACGUGGAAACUACAUCAGAUUUUCACUGACAAUACAACCAUAGUUUAAAAAGCGGCACUGCAUCAGUAGAGGAUUCGACCUUGAUAGAUAACCCUGUUGCCCAUGUUUUGUGCUGAUUACAAUAUCUAUAAUACAACUGAAUGGUAUAUCUCUCAGGUAAAGUUUUUCUUCUCACAAUCUGAUAUAAGGUUUCAAUUUUUUCUAGACGUGGAAUGGAAUUGGUCUGGCUAAUGAAAAGAACUUGUUGUUAGGAUUAUAGGGUACCAACUUGGCAAAAACUUCAGAUAGGUGUGAUUGGUAAUAAGCAAUCUCUAUAUUGCUUAAAUGAUAUAAUCAUUGAUAAGCAGGUCAUUACCACAUAACUUGAUACAUUCAACUGAAUUAGAUAAAACAUUGCAUUUCUUUCGAGUUAUGGCUUAACUAUGGGGAUCGAGCUAUGAAUUGAUGGAAAUUUAGUUUUUGUUCUUCACUGAGGCCGAGCCUUGGCGAAGCGGUAAGAGUUAUUGCUGCGUGACCAGGAGCACAUGGGUUCACAGCAAGAAACAUUCUCUGGAAGAAAUGCAAGAUAAGACUACGUAUAAAACUAUAUAGAAAUGUGAUCCAGCCUUUUUUCGUUGUUCUCUGCUCUCUAUUCCUCACUGCCCCCGCCAAGUUAUUUGAAUCCAUUUUGUGGGGACAAUACAGAACAACAAAUGAUAUCAAUGUGAUCUGGCCUUUCCUUAAACUUGGUGCAUUAGCGAGAACUUAGCGUAUCGAUCGGGCAUUUUAUUUUUAUAUUCUCUGUUCCUUGCUAGCCCUGCAAUUUUUUUGAAUAGCGACAUUAUAGAACAAACCAAUGAUAUCAGUCUGCUUAUCUGCAUGUACGGAUACAAGGGCAUACUGCUUGAGUUGCUUGAAAGAAACUAACAUUUUUUAGAUUGAUUUGCCAGAGGUCUUGCAGAUGAAAACUACUGUUCUAAAAGAGGCAAUCAAUGAAUAAAAACACCCAAUACUGACAGCAAAAUCAUUGAAGAGAGUAAAAAAAAAUUGGUUUAAAAAGCUUCAAUCAUCAGAUUUAGAGCUAAAGAAGAAUACAAUGUGGGUAUUAGAGGGAAUCAUCUACGAUUUAUCACACUCUCAUGCAAUGGAAGUACUUAAUGUUAUUGCAAAUAACUGUGCCUCUUGUCAUACAAUACUUUUAGCAGAUCUCAUAAACAAGCAAUCAACCACAAUGUGCAUUUCCAUUUUCCAUUUCUAUAGUGAUUAGCCUCUUCUGUUGUUGCCAUCACUAGGAUUUUCUCAAGUUAAUUUAUGCACUACAGAUAUCCUUCUAUGCCUUUGUAAGAAAUACUUACAUUUGGAAUGCAUAGUAGCACCAAGAAAGCUAAAAGAAUGCAAUACCAGCUUAUCUUUGUUAUUGAA
Nicotiana tabacum (common tobacco) is the source of this 2658-nucleotide non-coding RNA. The record is from RefSeq and is a predicted model, not a curated record. Lineage: Eukaryota; Viridiplantae; Streptophyta; Magnoliopsida; Solanales; Solanaceae.